Molecule: ribosomal RNA, 497 nt
Filed under: uncultured bacterium
Lineage: Bacteria
Description: partial 16S ribosomal RNA
Rfam family: Bacterial small subunit ribosomal RNA
Source: RNAcentral
GAUGAACGCUGGCGGCGUGCCUAAUACAUGCAAGUCGAGCGAACAGACGAGGAGCUUGCUCCUCUGACGUUAGCGGCGGACGGGUGAGUAACACGUGGAUAACCUACCUAUAAGACUGGGAUAACUUCGGGAAACCGGAGCUAAUACCGGAUAACAUGUUGAACCGCAUGGUUCAACAGUGAAAGACGGUCUUGCUGUCACUUAUAGAUGGAUCCGCGCCGCAUUAGCUAGUUGGUAAGGUAACGGCUUACCAAGGCAACGAUGCGUAGCCGACCUGAGAGGGUGAUCGGCCACCCUGGAACUGAGACACGGUCCAGACUCCUACUGGAGGCAGCAGUAGGGAAUCUUCCGGAAUGGGCGAAAGCCUGACGGAGCAACGCCGCGUGAGUGAAGAAGGUCUUCGGAUCGUAAAACUCUGUUAUUAGGGAAGAACAAAUGUGUAAGUAACUAGGCACGUCUUGACGGUACCUAAUCAGAAAGCCACGGCUAACUACGUG